GUCCCCGUAGCUCAGCUGGAUAGAGCGUCCCCCUCCUAAGGGGAAGGUCGCACGUUCGAAUCGUGUCGGGGACGCCA
This 77-nucleotide transfer RNA is filed under the name Silanimonas lenta. Its description in RNAcentral is "tRNA-Arg". It matches the Rfam family "tRNA". Rfam says of the family: Transfer RNA (tRNA) molecules are approximately 80 nucleotides in length. Their secondary structure includes four short double-helical elements and three loops (D, anti-codon, and T loops). Further hydrogen bonds mediate the characteristic L-shaped molecular structure. tRNAs have two regions of fundamental functional importance: the anti-codon, which is responsible for specific mRNA codon recognition, and the 3' end, to which the tRNAs corresponding amino acid is attached (by aminoacyl-tRNA synthetases). tRNAs cope with the degeneracy of the genetic code in two manners: having more than one tRNA (with a specific anti-codon) for a particular amino acid; and 'wobble' base-pairing, i.e. permitting non-standard base-pairing at the 3rd anti-codon position. RNAcentral also lists the same sequence under 4 other names. Lineage: Bacteria; Pseudomonadati; Pseudomonadota; Gammaproteobacteria; Lysobacterales; Lysobacteraceae. The record is from RNAcentral.